CCUACGGGAGGCAGCAGUGGGGAAUAUUGGACAAUGGGGGAAACCCUGAUCCAGCGACGCCGCGUGAGUGAAGAAGUAUUUCGGUACGUAAAGCUCUAUCAGCAGGAAAGAAAAUGACGGUACCUGACUACGAAGCCCCGGCUAACUACGUGCCAGCAGCCGCGGUAACACGGAGGGGGCAAGCGUUAUCCGGAUUUACUGGGUGUAAAGGGAGCGUAGACGGCAGCGCAAGUCUGGAGUGAAAUGCCGGGGACCAACCCCGGAACUGCUCUGGAAACUGUGAGGCUGGAGUGCAGGAGAGGUAAGCGGAAUUCCUGGUGUAGCGGUGAAAUGCGUAGAUAUCGGGAGGAACACCGGCGGCGAAGGCGGCUUACUGGACUGUAACUGACGUUGAGGCACGAAGGCGUGGGGAGCGAACAGGAUUAGAUACCCCAGUAGUC
Molecule: ribosomal RNA, 440 nt
Filed under: uncultured bacterium
Lineage: Bacteria
Description: partial 16S ribosomal RNA
Rfam family: Bacterial small subunit ribosomal RNA
Source: RNAcentral